UUGGGCCACCUAUUUGCAACAGCACCUAAGUCUGGAUGAUAGAAGAAACGAAGAAAAAAGAAGCGGGGGACUGAGUCCCUAUCCUUCCAUGUUCUUCCCUAGAGGAAUUCUGCCACAACUGGGGUGUUGGUGCAGAGCGGAGAACUCUCGUCUAGAAUCCCAGCUUCCUGACCAAGAAGACCAGGUGUAACGCUGACCUCAGAGAAAGAUGGACGUUGAGCAGUUCUCACUGCACCUGCUGCACCCACGCACAUGUCCUUGAAUCCCAGCAAGGUGCCUGGCUUGGGCCCAACAUUCAGACUCUGGAUCCAGAGGAAGGAGCCCUAGGCUCAGUGGGUACCCCUGCUCCCAGUUUACACCCCGUAAAUACUUAUAACUUGC
Molecule: long non-coding RNA, 381 nt
Organism: Herpailurus yagouaroundi (jaguarundi)
Lineage: Eukaryota; Metazoa; Chordata; Mammalia; Carnivora; Felidae
Exons: 3
Source: RefSeq, a predicted model, not a curated record